This 450-nucleotide ribosomal RNA is filed under the name uncultured Glomeromycotina. RNAcentral's name for it is "SSU rRNA". It matches the Rfam family "Eukaryotic small subunit ribosomal RNA", at positions 569 to 1022 of the family's 1831-position model. Lineage: Eukaryota; Fungi; Glomeromycota. The record is from RNAcentral.
AGCAGCCGCGGUAAUUCCAGCUCCAAUAGCGUAUAUUAAAGUUGUUGCAGUUAAAAAAGCUCGUAGUUGAAUUUCGGGGUUAGUAGGUUGGUCAUGCCUCUGGUAUGUACUGGUCUCACUGAUUCCUCCUUCCUGAUGAACCGUAAUGCCAUUAAUUUGGUGUUGCGGGGAAUCAGGACUGUUACUUUGAAAAAAAUUAGAGUGUUUAAAGCAGGCUCGCGCUUGAAUACAUUAGCAUGGAAUAAUGAAAUAGGACGUUGAUCCUAUUUUGUUGGUUUCUAGGAUUGACGUAAUGAUUAAUAGGGAUAGUUGGGGGCAUUAGUAUUCAAUUGUCAGAGGUGAAAUUCUUGGAUUUAUUGAAGACUAACUACUGCGAAAGCAUUUGCCAAGGAUGUUUUCAUUAAUCAAGAACGAAAGUUAGGGGAUCGAAGACGAUCAGAUACCGUCGUA